This 29-nucleotide small RNA is filed under the name Bombyx mori (domestic silkworm). Its description in RNAcentral is "ovarian small RNA-21007". Lineage: Eukaryota; Metazoa; Arthropoda; Insecta; Lepidoptera; Bombycidae. The record is from RNAcentral.
UACGAGGUCUCCGCGCAUAAGGAGCGCGC